This 213-nucleotide long non-coding RNA is filed under the name Selaginella moellendorffii. RNAcentral describes it as "long non-coding RNA (SMOE_LNC001901)". The record is from RNAcentral. Lineage: Eukaryota; Viridiplantae; Streptophyta; Lycopodiopsida; Selaginellales; Selaginellaceae.
AAAUUUAGUACUAAUCUUCUUCGAGUAGCUCCAAGUUGAGUUGCAUCACCGCUUCUUCCACUGCCUGGAUCAUUGCUCCAGGGAAAACAUCCGGCUGCAGCUCUCGGAGUAAGAUAUGGAGCCGGCCCGCUUUCGAAGUCGUUGUCGUUCCAAACUUGAGAGCAUAGAAAGAGAGCGCCAGAGACAACACGUCGUCCUCCUCCGCAUACGGCA